This 253-nucleotide ribosomal RNA is filed under the name uncultured bacterium. RNAcentral's name for it is "partial 16S ribosomal RNA". It matches the Rfam family "Bacterial small subunit ribosomal RNA", at positions 524 to 776 of the family's 1533-position model. The record is from RNAcentral.
UACGUAGGGUGCGAGCGUUAAUCGGAAUUACUGGGCGUAAAGCGUGCGCAGGCGGUUCGUUAUGUCCGAUGUGAAAGCCCCGAGCUUAACUUGGGAAUGGCAUUGGAAACUGGCGGGCUGGAGUGCGGCAGAGGGGGGUGGAAUUCCACGUGUAGCAGUGAAAUGCGUAGAGAUGUGGAGGAGCACCGAUGGCGAAGGCAGCCCCCUGGGCCGACACUGACGCUCAGGCACGAAAGCGUGGGGAGCAAACAGG